GACGAACGCUGGCGGCGUGCCUAAUACAUGCAAGUUGAGCGCUGAAGGUUGGUCCUUGUACCAACUGGAUGAGCAGCGAACGGGUGAGUAACGCGUGGGGAAUCUGCCUUUGAGCGGGGGACAACAUUUGGAAACGAAUGCUAAUACCGCAUAAAAACUUUAAACACAAGUUUUAAGUUUGAAAGAUGCAAUUGCAUCACUCAAAGAUGAUCCCGCGUUGUAUUAGCUAGUUGGUGAGGUAAAGGCUCACCAAGGCGAUGAUACAUAGCCGACCUGAGAGGGUGAACGGCCACAUUGGGACUGAAACACGGCCCAAACUCCUACGGGAGGCAGCAGUAGGGAAUCUUCGGCAAUGGACGAAAGUCUGACCGAGCAACGCCGCGUGAGUGAAGAAGGUUUUCGGAUCGUAAAACUCUGUUGGUAGGGAAGAACGUUGGUGAGAGUGGAAAGCUCAUCAAGUGACGGUAACUACCCAGAAAGGGACGGCUAACUACGUG
This 497-nucleotide ribosomal RNA is filed under the name uncultured bacterium. RNAcentral describes it as "partial 16S ribosomal RNA". It matches the Rfam family "Bacterial small subunit ribosomal RNA", at positions 28 to 507 of the family's 1533-position model. The record is from RNAcentral.